This 497-nucleotide ribosomal RNA is filed under the name uncultured bacterium. RNAcentral describes it as "partial 16S ribosomal RNA". It matches the Rfam family "Bacterial small subunit ribosomal RNA", at positions 28 to 507 of the family's 1533-position model. The record is from RNAcentral.
GAUGAACGCUGGCGGCGUGCCUAAUACAUGCAAGUCGAGCGAACAGACGAGGAGCUUGCUCCUCUGACGAUAGCGGCGGACGGGUGAGUAACACGUGGAUAACCUACCUAUAAGACUGGGAUAACUUCGGGAAACCGGAGCUAAUACCGGAUAAUAUAUUGAACCGCAUGGUUCAAUAGUGAAAGACGGUUUUGCUGUCACUUAUAGAUGGAUCCGCGCCGCAUUAGCUAGUUGGUAAGGUAACGGCUUACCAAGGCAACGAUGCGUAGCCGACCUGAGAGGGUGAUCGGCCACCCGGGAACUGGACCACGGUCCAGACUCCUACGGGAGGCAGCAGUAGGGAAUCUUCCGCAAUGGGCGAAAGCCUGACGGAGCAACGCCGCGUGAGUGAUGAAGGUCUUCGGAUCGUAAAACUCUGUUAUUAGGGAAGAACAAAUGUGUAAGUAACUAUGCACGUCUUGACGGUACCUAAUCAGAAAGCCACGGCUAACUACGUG